RNAcentral lists this long non-coding RNA (255 nucleotides) under Lathyrus oleraceus (garden pea). RNAcentral describes it as "Pisum sativum (pea) long non-coding RNA (PSAT_LNC016265)". The record is from RNAcentral. Lineage: Eukaryota; Viridiplantae; Streptophyta; Magnoliopsida; Fabales; Fabaceae.
AAAUUAUGGUGUUCAAUUGAAACUUAAUGGAUUUGCAAAAUUCAAAGCAUAAGUCAAUUGCCUCUGAUGAGAGGACUUCAGCCAACCCAAUAAAUGCAAGAAACAAGCUAUAAACAAGGUGUUUCGAAGAAAAUAAGUUUGGAUAUCCACCUUUGAAAUGUGUAUCUUAAGAGCACGAUUCUUCAAAGCUUUUGCUUGCAGUGUGAUCUAGGGAUGAAGAGGAAGCAAGGUCAAGGAAUUAUGAGUCUGAAAAUC